Small nucleolar RNA from Ictidomys tridecemlineatus (thirteen-lined ground squirrel), 122 nucleotides. Lineage: Eukaryota; Metazoa; Chordata; Mammalia; Rodentia; Sciuridae. The record is from Ensembl.
UUGGCCCUGAAUCAAGGCCAGCAGUUUGUUGAAACUGUUGGUUUCAAGCAGGAGCCUAAAAAAAAAAUGUCUACUAUUUCAGAAACUUUAGAUGUGUAAUAGUCAAUUCAAUAGAAACAUCU